RNAcentral lists this ribosomal RNA (274 nucleotides) under uncultured bacterium. RNAcentral describes it as "partial 16S ribosomal RNA". It matches the Rfam family "Bacterial small subunit ribosomal RNA", at positions 523 to 796 of the family's 1533-position model. The record is from RNAcentral.
AUACGAAAGGUGCAAGCGUUGUUCGGAUUUACUGGGCGUAAAGAGAGUGUAGGUUGUUUAUUAAGUCGGAUGUGAAAUCCCGGGGCUCAACCUCGGAACUGCAUUCGAUACUGGUAGACUAGAGUUCGGGAGGGGUAAGCGGAAUUCCGUGUGUAGCAGUGAGAUGCGUAGAUAUACGGAGGAACACCUGAGGCGAAGGCGGCUUACUGGACCGAUACUGACACUGAGACUCGAAAGCGUGGGUAGCAAACAGGAUUAGAAACCCUAGUAGUCC